RNAcentral lists this ribosomal RNA (547 nucleotides) under uncultured bacterium. RNAcentral describes it as "bacterial SSU rRNA". It matches the Rfam family "Bacterial small subunit ribosomal RNA", at positions 355 to 896 of the family's 1533-position model. The record is from RNAcentral.
UAGGGAAUUUUUCACAAUGAGCGAAAGCUUGAUGGAGCAAUGCCGCGUGAACGAUGAAGGUCUUUAAGAUUGUAAAGUUCUUUUAUUUGGGAAGAAUGACUUUAGCAAGUAAUGGCUAGAGUUUGACUGUACCAUUUUGAAUAAGUGACGACUAACUAUGUGCCAGCAGUCGCGGUAAUACAUAGGUCGCAAGCGUUAUCCGGAUUUAUUGGGUGUAAAGCAAGCGCAGGCGGAUUGAAAAGUCUGGUGUUAAAGGCAGCUGCUUAACAGUUGUAUGCAUUGGAAACUAUUAAUCUAGAGUGUGGUAGGGAGUUUUGGAAUUUCAUGUGGAGCGGUGAAAUGCGUAGAUAUAUGAAGGAACACCAGUGGCGAAGGCGAAAACUUAGGCCAUUACUGACGCUUAGGCUUGAAAGUGUGGGGAGCAAAUAGGAUUAGAUACCCUAGUAGUCCACACCGUAAACGAUAGAUACUAGCUGUCGGGGCGAUCCCCUCGGUAGUGAAGUUAACACAUUAAGUAUCUCGCCUGGGUAGUACAUUCGCAAGAAUG